RNAcentral lists this ribosomal RNA (195 nucleotides) under uncultured marine bacterium. RNAcentral's name for it is "partial 16S ribosomal RNA". It matches the Rfam family "Bacterial small subunit ribosomal RNA", at positions 337 to 524 of the family's 1533-position model. The record is from RNAcentral.
UCCUACGGGAGGCAGCAGUGGGGAAUAUUGGACGAUGGGGGGAACCCUGAUCCAGCCAUGCCGCGUGUGUGAAGAAGGCCUUUUGGUUGUAAAGCACUUUAAGCAGUGAAGAAGACUCUUCGGUUAAUACCCGGGGACGAUGACAUUAGCUGCAGAAUAAGCACCGGCUAACUCUGUGCCAGCAGCCGCGGUAAU